Molecule: ribosomal RNA, 450 nt
Filed under: uncultured bacterium
Lineage: Bacteria
Description: partial 16S ribosomal RNA
Rfam family: Bacterial small subunit ribosomal RNA
Source: RNAcentral
GUGGGGAAUAUUGGACAAUGGGCGAAAGCCUGAUCCAGCCAUGCCGCGUGUGUGAAGAAGGUCUUCGGAUUGUAAAGCACUUUAAGUUGGGAGGAAGGGCAGUAAGUUAAUACCUUGCUGUUUUGACGUUACCGACAGAAUAAGCACCGGCUAACUUCGUGCCAGCAGCCGCGGUAAUACGAAGGGUGCAAGCGUUAAUCGGAAUUACUGGGCGUAAAGCGCGCGUAGGUGGCUUUGUAAGUUGGAGGUGAAAUCCCCGGGCUCAACCUGGGAACUGCCUCCAAAACUGCAUGACUAGAGUACGGUAGAGGGUAGUGGAAUUUCCUGUGUAGCGGUGAAAUGCGUAGAUAUAGGAAGGAACACCAGUGGCGAAGGCGACUACCUGGACUGAUACUGACACUGAGGUGCGAAAGCGUGGGGAGCAAACAGGAUUAGAAACCCGUGUAGUCC